This 274-nucleotide ribosomal RNA is filed under the name uncultured bacterium. Its description in RNAcentral is "partial 16S ribosomal RNA". It matches the Rfam family "Bacterial small subunit ribosomal RNA", at positions 523 to 796 of the family's 1533-position model. The record is from RNAcentral.
AUACGAAGGGGGUUAGCGUUGUUCGGAAUUACUGGGCGUAAAGCGCGCGUAGGCGGAUUGGUCAGUUAGGGGUGAAAUCCCAGGGCUUAACCCUGGAACUGCCUCUAAUACUGCCAGUCUUGAGUUCGGGAGAGGUGAGUGGAAUUCCUAGUGUAGAGGUGAAAUUCGUAGAUAUUAGGAAGAACACCAGUGGCGAAGGCGGCUCACUGGCCCGAUACUGACGCUGAGGCGCGAAAGCGUGGGGAGCAAACAGGAUUAGAAACCCUAGUAGUCC